UACGUAGGGGGCGAGCGUUGUUCGGAAUUACUGGGCGUAAAGGGCGUGUAGGCGGUGCGGUAAGUCGGACGUGAAAUCCCCGGGCUUAACUCGGGGGGGUCGUUCGAAACUGCCGUGCUCGAGUGUGGGAGAGGGAAGUGGAAUUCCCGGUGUAGCGGUGAAAUGCGUAGAUAUCGGGAAGAACACCGGUGGCGAAGGCGGCUUCCUGGCCCACAACUGACGCUGAGGCGCGAAAGCUAGGGGAGCAAACAGG
RNAcentral lists this ribosomal RNA (253 nucleotides) under uncultured bacterium. RNAcentral's name for it is "partial 16S ribosomal RNA". It matches the Rfam family "Bacterial small subunit ribosomal RNA", at positions 524 to 776 of the family's 1533-position model. The record is from RNAcentral.